Molecule: long non-coding RNA, 283 nt
Organism: Zingiber officinale
Lineage: Eukaryota; Viridiplantae; Streptophyta; Magnoliopsida; Zingiberales; Zingiberaceae
Exons: 4
Source: RefSeq, a predicted model, not a curated record
CAUUGUGAUGGUGUCUGAGUGUUGGCUUGGUCUCUGUUGGCUUGCUACAUAUCUAGAAAGCUCCAUGAUUUGUGCUAAGCUCAAAAUAUCAGUAGAUUUGUUGUGGUAGUGCCUUAACAGGAUUUGAGACUUCUCCAUUCAGGAAAAGACAAGUCCGGUAGAUACAAAAAUUACAAGAUCGCAAGUUUGGAUUGAAGGUCAAAAGAAAAAAAAUGGGGAGCCUAGUACUCAAGCUGUUGGAGAGAAAAUAGUGGACCUAAUUCGACCAAAUGAUGAAAUGCAG